RNAcentral lists this microRNA precursor (105 nucleotides) under Pelobates cultripes (western spadefoot toad). Lineage: Eukaryota; Metazoa; Chordata; Amphibia; Anura; Pelobatidae. The record is from RNAcentral.
AAUAAAGUGGGGCAUGAUUCGAUGCUGAAGGCAAUGCAUUAAGAACUGAUGGCGACUCAUUUGAUCCAAUCAGUUCCUGAUGCAGUAUCUACAACAGCAAAAUUU